GAUGAACGCUGGCGGCGUGCCUAAUACAUGCAAGUCGAGCGAACAGACGAGGAGCUUGCUCCUCUGACGUUAGCGUCGGACGGGUGAGUAGCACGUGGAUAACCUACCUAUAAGACUGGGAUAACUUCGGGAAACCGGAGCUAAUACCGGAUAACAUGUUGAACCGCAUGGUUCAACAGUGAAAGACGGUCUUGCUGUCACUUAUAGAUGGAUCCGCGCCGCAUUAGCUAGUUGGUAAGGUAACGGCUUACCAAGGCAACGAUGCGUAGCCGACCUGAGCGGGUGGUCGGCCACACUGGAACUGAGACACGGUCCAGACUCCUACGGGAGGCAGCAGUAGGGAAUCUUCCGCAAUGGGCGAAAGCCUGACGGAGCAACGCCGCGUGAGUGAAGAAGGUCUUCGGAUCGUAAAACUCUGUUAUUAGGGAAGAACAAAUGUGUAAGUAACUAUGCACGUCUUGACGGUACCUAAUCAGAAAGCCACGGCUAACUACGUG
Molecule: ribosomal RNA, 497 nt
Filed under: uncultured bacterium
Lineage: Bacteria
Description: partial 16S ribosomal RNA
Rfam family: Bacterial small subunit ribosomal RNA
Source: RNAcentral